RNAcentral lists this ribosomal RNA (672 nucleotides) under uncultured bacterium. Its description in RNAcentral is "bacterial SSU rRNA". It matches the Rfam family "Bacterial small subunit ribosomal RNA", at positions 139 to 807 of the family's 1533-position model. The record is from RNAcentral.
GGGGAUAAGCGGCGGAAACGCCGUCUAAUACCGCGUGACAACCCGAGGGGGCAUCCCCUUGGGUUCAAAGGAGAGAUCCGGUACCGGCUGGGCAUGCGGCGCAUUAGCUAGUUGGCGGGGCAACGGCCCACCAAGGCGACGAUGCGUAGGGGUUCUGAGAGGAAGGUCCCCCACACUGGAACUGAGACACGGUCCAGACUCCUACGGGAGGCAGCAGUGAGGAAUAUUGGUCAAUGGGCGCAAGCCUGAACCAGCCAAGUCGCGUGAGGGAAGACGGCCCUACGGGUUGUAAACCUCUUUUGCCGGGGAGCAAGCCUGAGCACGUGUGCCCAGGCGGAGAGUACCCGGAGAAAAAGCAUCGGCUAACUCCGUGCCAGCAGCCGCGGUAAUACGGAGGAUGCGAGCGUUAUCCGGAUUUAUUGGGUUUAAAGGGUGCGCAGGCGGGCUGUUAAGCCGGCGGUAAAAAUUCAGGGCUCAACCCUGUCGAGCCGUCGGAACUGGCAGUCUUGAGUGGGCGAGAAGUAUGCGGAAUGCGUGGUGUAGCGGUGAAAUGCAUAGAUAUCACGCAGAACGCCGAUUGCGAAGGCAGCAUACCGGCGCCCAACUGACGCUGAGGCACGAAAGCGUGGGGAUCGAACAGGAUUAGAUACCCUGGUAGUCCACGCAGUAAAC